UAGGAUUAGAUACCCUAUUAUUAAAAUUUAAAUUGAAAAUACUAAAAUAGUAGAUAAUUAUUUAUUGAAACUUAAAUAAUUUGGCGGUAUUUUAGUUCAUUUAGAGGAAUCUGUUUAAUAAUUGAUAAUCCACGAAUAAAUUUACUUAAUUUUUUAUUUUGUAUAUCGUUGUUAAAAAAAUAUUUUUUAAUAAUAAUAAUAUUUAAAAAUUUUGAUUAAAAAUUAAAUCAGAUCAAGAUGCAGAUUAUAAUUAAGAAUAUAAUGGAUUACAAUAAAUUUAUUUAGAUAGAUAUUAAUUU
Molecule: ribosomal RNA, 299 nt
Filed under: Spodoptera frugiperda (fall armyworm)
Lineage: Eukaryota; Metazoa; Arthropoda; Insecta; Lepidoptera; Noctuidae
Description: partial small subunit ribosomal RNA
Source: RNAcentral